This 580-nucleotide ribosomal RNA is filed under the name uncultured bacterium. RNAcentral's name for it is "bacterial SSU rRNA". It matches the Rfam family "Bacterial small subunit ribosomal RNA", at positions 338 to 916 of the family's 1533-position model. The record is from RNAcentral.
CCUACGGGAGGCAGCAGUGAGGAAUAUUGGUCAAUGGGCGCAAGCCUGAACCAGCCAUGCCGCGUGCAGGAAGAAUGCCCUCUGGGUUGUAAACUGCUUUUAUUUGGGAAUAAACCUUUUUACGUGUAGAAAGCUGAAGAUACCAAAUGAAUAAGCACCGGCUAACUCCGUGCCAGCAGCCGCGGUAAUACGGAGGGUGCAAGCGUUAUCCGGAAUCAUUGGGUUUAAAGGGUCCGCAGGCGGAUUUAUAAGUCAGUGGUGAAAUCUCUCGGCUUAACCGAGAAACUGCCAUUGAUACUGUAAGUCUUGAAUUCGGUCGAAGUGGGCGGAAUGUGUAGUGUAGCGGUGAAAUGCAUAGAUAUUACACAGAACACCGAUAGCGAAGGCAGCUCACUAGGCCUGGAUUGACGCUCAGGGACGAAAGCGUGGGGAUCAAACAGGAUUAGAUACCCUGGUAGUCCACGCUGUAAACGAUGAUUACUCGUUUUCGGCGAUAUACAGUCGGAGACUAAGCGAAAGUGAUAAGUAAUCCACCUGGGAGUAACGAUCGCAAGGUUGAAACUUCAAAUUGAAUUGACGG